AAGUUUACUCUUUAACAUCACACCUUUAACUGUACCCUAUCUUGUAACUCUUCCUAAUAGAUAUAAAGUGAAAGUAACAUGCACAUGAUCUUUUGCAUUAACUCCAUCCAUCACCCUUCACAAUGUCUUGUUAGUUCAUUCUUUUAAACACAACUUGAUUUCUGUCCACAAGUUAGUGAAACAGUUGCAUUGCAUAGUUUUGUUCACUGCAAACCCUGCUUCCUCCACAUGAUACAGGACCCUUCUCUGAGGAAGCCUUUGGAUCUUGGUAAAGAGGAGGCUGGUCUAUACAAGCUUGCUUGGGUUACAACUUCCCCUUCUUCCUCUACUGGUUGUUCAUCUACUUUGGUAUGCUCUAUGUCUGACUCUUGUAAUCAUGGCAAUUCUUCCUCUACUGGUUGCCAUAAAGUUGUUGCUUUACCUUUCAAUGUACAUAGUUCCAUCUGUAAUAAUGUUCUUACAACUGACAUGAAUUACAUUUGGCAUUUGAGACUUGUCCUCUACUGGUUGCCAUAAAGUUGUUGCUUUACCUUACAAUGUAAAUAGUUCCAUCUGUAAUAAUGUUGUUACAACUGACAUUGCUCAUACUUCAUUUGCAAACAUGAAACAAAUUUCUGGAUUGUCUUUUCCAUUUGCUUCUAAGCAGCCUUUCCCUUGUUCUAUCUGUCCUAUGGCUAAACAGACUUGACUUCCCUUUCCUGAUAGCACAAUUAGUACUUCUAGACCUUUCCAAUUGAUUCAUGUGGACACUUGGGGCCCCUAUCACACUCAUACUUCUUAUGGUUCUAGAUAUUUUCUUACAAUAGUUGAUGAUUUCUCUAGGGCCACCUGGACACACUUACUNNNNNNNNNNNNNNNNNNNNNNNNNNNNNNNNNNNNNNNNNNNNNNNNNNNNNNNNNNNNNNNNNNNNNNNNNNNNNNNNNUGAUGACUUCUCUAGGGCAACCUGGACACACUUACUGGGGUCUAAAAGCAAUGCUUUCUGCCUGCUUAAAUAAUUUCUGUGUAUGGUUAAAACCCAGUUUAAUGUUGUGGUUCAAACUGUUACAAGUGACUAUGCUUUGGAAUUGGGGUCUAGCAUUGAUGGUGUAUCUUUCUUUAGUAACCAAGGGAUUAUUCGUCAAACAACCUGUCCUCAUACUCCUCAACAAAAUGAUGUUGUUGAAAGGAAACAUAGGACUCUUCUUGAGACAUGUAGAGAUUUACUCUUUCAAUCUGGCUUACCCAUCUCUUUCUGGGGGGACUGCUUACUAACUGCCACCUAUCUUCUUAACAGAAUACCAUCCAGACUCCUUCAUAAUAAAUCUCCCUAUGAAGUUUUGAAUGGAAAGGCACCAACCUACUCUCAUUUGAUAGCAUUUGGGUGCCUUGCCUAUGCUACUGUCCCAAUUUCUCAAAGGGACAAGUUGAAACCUAGAGCCAUUUCCUGUGUAUUCAUGGGUAUCCUUUUGCCAAAAAAGGGUUAUAAACUUUAUGAUCUCACUUCCAAAAAAUACUUUGUCUCCAGGAAUGUUAUAUUUCAUGAAACCUACUUUCCUUUUAAAACUGUAUCUUCUUCUGCUCUUCCUUUGUUCCUUCUCUUGAGCAUUCCUCCUCUGAUACAGACUUGUUAUACCUGUCUGUUCCUCUCCUCCUCCUCCUUCUGCCCCAACUUCCCCUUCUUCUAAUCCAG
This 1671-nucleotide long non-coding RNA is filed under the name Nicotiana benthamiana. Its description in RNAcentral is "long non-coding RNA (NBEN_LNC009726)". Lineage: Eukaryota; Viridiplantae; Streptophyta; Magnoliopsida; Solanales; Solanaceae. The record is from RNAcentral.